AUUGGGCCCGAGUUUGAUCAUGGCUCAGAUUGAACGCUGGCGGCAUGCUUUACACAUGCAAGUCGAACGGGGUGGGGGGCAACUCCCAUUCAGUGGCGAACGGGUGAGUAAUGCAUCGGAACGUGUCCCGUAAUGGGGGAUAACGCCGCGAAAGCGGCGCUAAUACCGCAUACGCUCUGAGGAGGAAAGUGGGGGACUUCGCAAGGAGCCUCACGUUAGGGGAGCGGCCGAUGUCCGAUUAGCUAGUUGGUGGGGUAAUGGCUUACCAAGGCUUCGAUCGGUAGCUGGUCUGAGAGGAUGAUCAGCCACACUGGAACUGAGACACGGUCCAGACUCCUACGGGAGGCAGCAGUGGGGAAUAUUGGGCAAUGGGGGAAACCCUGACGCAGCAACGCCGCGUGGAGGAUGAAGUCCCUUGGGACGUAAACUCCUUUCGACCCGGACGAUAAUGACGGUACGGGUGGAAGAAGCCCCGGCUAACUUCGUGCCAGCAGCCGCGGUG
This 502-nucleotide ribosomal RNA is filed under the name uncultured bacterium. RNAcentral describes it as "bacterial SSU rRNA". It matches the Rfam family "Bacterial small subunit ribosomal RNA", at positions 1 to 522 of the family's 1533-position model. The record is from RNAcentral.